Molecule: ribosomal RNA, 439 nt
Filed under: uncultured bacterium
Lineage: Bacteria
Description: partial 16S ribosomal RNA
Rfam family: Bacterial small subunit ribosomal RNA
Source: RNAcentral
CUACGGGGUGCAGCAGUGAGGAAUAUUGCACAAUGGGGGGAACCCUGAUGCAGCAACGCCGCGUGGAGGAUGACGCAUUUCGGUGUGUAAACUCCUUUUAUAUGUCAAGAAAAUGGCGGUAGCAUAUGAAUAAGCACCGGCUAACUCCGUGCCAGCAGCCGCGGUAAUACGGAGGGUGCAAGCGUUACUCGGAAUCGCUGGGCGUAAAGGACGCGUAGGCGGGUUGGAAAGUCAGGUGUGAAAUCCUACAGCUUAACUGUAGAACUGCACUUGAAACUUCUAAUCUAGAGUAUGGGAGGGGGAGAUGGAAUUAGUGGUGUGGGGGUAAAAUCCGUAGAUAUCACUAGGAAUACCUAAAGCGAAGGCGAUCUCCUGGAACAUUACUGACGCUAAGGCGUGAAAGCGUGGGGAGCAAACAGGAUUAGAUACCCGCGUAGUC